This 1265-nucleotide ribosomal RNA is filed under the name uncultured bacterium. RNAcentral's name for it is "bacterial SSU rRNA". It matches the Rfam family "Bacterial small subunit ribosomal RNA", at positions 104 to 1367 of the family's 1533-position model. The record is from RNAcentral.
GGGUGANUNAUAUAUCGGAACGUACCCAAGAGUGGGGGAUAACGUAGCGAAAGUUACGCUAAUACCGCAUACUAUCUAUGGAUGAAAGUGGGGGAUCGCAAGACCUCAUGCUCCUGGAGCGGCCGAUAUCUGAUUAGCUAGUUGGUGAGGUAAAGGCUCACCAAGGCGACGAUCAGUAGCUGGUCUGAGAGGACGACCAGCCACACUGGAACUGAGACACGGUCCAGACUCCUACGGGAGGCAGCAGUGGGGAAUUUUGGACAAUGGGCGCAAGCCUGAUCCAGCAAUGCCGCGUGAGUGAAGAAGGCCUUCGGGUUGUAAAGCUCUUUUGUCAGGGAAGAAACGGUGAGAGCUAAUAUCUCCUGCUAAUGACGGUACCUGAAGAAUAAGCACCGGCUAACUACGUGCCAGCAGCCGCGGUAAUACGUAGGGUGCAAGCGUUAAUCGGAAUUACUGGGCGUAAAGCGUGCGCAGGCGGUUUUGUAAGUCUGUCGUGAAAGCCCCGGGCUCAACCUGGGAAUUGCGAUGGAGACUGCAAGGCUUGAAUCUGGCAGAGGGGGGUAGAAUUCCACGUGUAGCAGUGAAAUGCGUAGAGAUGUGGAGGAACACCGAUGGCGAAGGCAGCCCCCUGGGUCAAGAUUGACGCUCAUGCACGAAAGCGUGGGGAGCAAACAGGAUUAGAUACCCUGGUAGUCCACGCCCUAAACGAUGUCUACUAGUUGUCGGGUUUUAAUUAACUUGGUAACGCAGCUAACGCGUGAAGUAGACCGCCUGGGGAGUACGGUCGCAAGAUUAAAACUCAAAGGAAUUGACGGGGACCCGCACAAGCGGUGGAUGAUGUGGAUUAAUUCGAUGCAACGCGAAAAACCUUACCUACCCUUGACAUGUCAGGAAUCCUUGAGAGAUCAGGGAGUGCCCGAAAGGGAACCUGAACACAGGUGCUGCAUGGCUGUCGUCAGCUCGUGUCGUGAGAUGUUGGGUUAAGUCCCGCAACGAGCGCAACCCUUGUCAUUAGUUGCUACAUUUAGUUGAGCACUCUAAUGAGACUGCCGGUGACAAACCGGAGGAAGGUGGGGAUGACGUCAAGUCCUCAUGGCCCUUAUGGGUAGGGCUUCACACGUCAUACAAUGGUACAUACAGAGGGCCGCCAACCCGCGAGGGGGAGCUAAUCCCAGAAAGUGUAUCGUAGUCCGGAUCGCAGUCUGCAACUCGACUGCGUGAAGUUGGAAUCGCUAGUAAUCGCGGAUCAGCAUGUCGCGGUGAAU